UUUUCAUUUUUUCAUCAACAGUUUCAUUAGAUAUAAAGAAUAUAAAGGUUUUAUUUUGUAACUAUGUUGUUAUUAGUGUAAACAAAAAUCUUUUGAAGAAAUAAUGCUUUUACUAAAACAGUCUUCCUAAUCUAGAAAUCACAGCUUUGGAACAAUUUUUUAAAGAAUUAAAUGUAUAAAAUGAAAAAUAUGAAAAUGCCACAACAUUUUUAAGUUGAAAUUGUUAUACACUGCCAUAAUGAUUUAAGUUGAAUUAAUGUUUAUUUUAAUUGUUGAGUAUAUCUGUUAUGAAUGACCACAGAUUGAUGUAGUGAAACCUUUGCUUGUUGUGAUUAAUUAAGGAUAAAUGUUAUGAAUAAUUGUAUAAAACAUAAACAGAUGCAUUUAAUAAUCACUUGUAGUAAAGAUUAUACAAAUGCUGAAAGUUAAACAAAAUUGAAAAUUUUAUUUAGAUAAGUUGCAAAAAUUGGAAACAAAGUUGCACAUAUGUUGCAUUCUAUGAUUUACUUUCCAACCAGAAUUUUAUGAAUUUUUAACAGAAUGUGUGGUUGAAUGGUAAAAAAUAAUAUAGUGUGUGACAGUUCAGUAUGAUGUGUUCAUGUGUUAUUUACAUAUAAAUAAGAUGUAUGAGAGGUGAAAGUUGGCAGAACAUAGAAUGAUGACAGAAAGUUCAAAUAAGAAGUUGAACAUUUAUAUAAGAUAAUUUGGGUUAUCCUGUAAUGCAAUUAAAUAUUUUGAUUAAAGUGUUAAUGUAGUCACUGACUAUACUAUUGUCAAAAUCUGUUUACCUUAAACAAUAUUGCUUUAUUUCCAAGAAGAUAUUUUAACAGAUGAUGUUCACACUGAAUAUAACUUUAUUGUACUUGUCUCAUUAUUCUUGGUUAGUGUAUUAGUUUUGUUAAUUUUGUUUUUAAAUCACUGUUCUAAACAACAUAAAAAACCUCUGAUAUGAUUAUAUCAGAAGUGUUCUAUAUUGAUGUUCUUUUCCACUGAAAAGGUCAUAUAUUAAAAAUAGAA
RNAcentral lists this long non-coding RNA (1017 nucleotides) under Mytilus galloprovincialis (Mediterranean mussel). The record is from RNAcentral. Lineage: Eukaryota; Metazoa; Mollusca; Bivalvia; Mytilida; Mytilidae.